AAUCUGUACAGUAGAUAUGGGGCCGUGGGUUGCUAUACAGCCGCAGCAGAACGGGCCCUUCAUAUAAGUUACACAGGGAGCCACUCAGUACCAGGCAGAUUUAUUCCUGACAGAGGGGAACAGGUGCAGCUUGCACUGCUUAACCUUGGAAACACGAGCCCCCUCCGGCUAUCAGUGCAUCUCUACUGCUCUCUCGGAUUCAGGAAGGGUUAAUUAAAGAACUUUUAAAAUCAACACAGAAUGUGCAGGUGAAAGGGUGGAGAAAUGUGCUGAGGCAGGAAUGGCAAGAAGAAGCUGACAUUGGACUCCUAGCUGACGAUAACACACAUGUUCUAGGGCUAUAUCUGCUUCCAGUACUUGGAGAUCCGCAACUCAAAUAAGAUCCCAUUUCAAGCUAAUUUGUACGGUACUUACUGUGCCUUCUGGUGUCCUGCAAGUGCCCAUCAAUACUGUCUUCCAAACCCCUUAAUGCGCUACAAACAUUUAUAACAGUUUGCCUUUAACUACAGGAUUGUUCCUCAUGUGUUUUGCAUAUAAACUGCAGAUUAUUGGAAGAGAAUAUAUAAUAUAUGGCUGAAAGAUUCCGGCCCAACUGAGCAGAGAAUAAAUCUGCACCGAGGAGGAUGUGGAUAUUAGAAAUUCAACGGAUUCGUCACUGAGAGCUUUGCAUGGACCACGCCAGAUGUCUGCAUAUGAAGGGAACAGAUGGAUGAAUAUAGUUUUCAGCCUAUACCAUAUGCCUCAGACACAAGGGCAAUUACUCAGAUCCUUCUUGAUUUUAUGGGAAAUGGAUACAUGUAAGUUUCCUAUGGCUGCCACACAAUAAGGCAAAGUUAUGUACACUUCUGCAUAUAGACCUUACAUUUAUCAGGGUUCUGCACAAAACAGUUUUAUAUUUCUAUUAUAUGUAUGGAAUUUUAGAGUCAUUAAAAAUAAAAAACAAUUUUGGAAA
This is a long non-coding RNA of Xenopus tropicalis (tropical clawed frog), 952 nucleotides long. RefSeq lists it as uncharacterized. The transcript has 2 exons. The record is from RefSeq and is a predicted model, not a curated record. Lineage: Eukaryota; Metazoa; Chordata; Amphibia; Anura; Pipidae.